UAAAGACCAGGCAGCCUGGGAUGGAAAUGCU
This 31-nucleotide non-coding RNA is filed under the name Mus musculus (house mouse). The record is from RNAcentral. Lineage: Eukaryota; Metazoa; Chordata; Mammalia; Rodentia; Muridae.